Rhinopithecus bieti (black snub-nosed monkey) is the source of this 292-nucleotide unclassified non-coding RNA. It matches the Rfam family "Metazoan signal recognition particle RNA". Rfam says of the family: The signal recognition particle (SRP) is a universally conserved ribonucleoprotein. It is involved in the co-translational targeting of proteins to membranes. NCBI's taxonomy places the organism in Eukaryota, Metazoa, Chordata, Mammalia, Primates, Cercopithecidae. The record is from Ensembl.
GCCAGGCAUGAUGGCAUGUGCCUGUUAUCCCAGCUACUUGGGAGGCUGAGGCAGGAGGAUCACUUGAGCCCAGGAGGUCUGGCCUGUUUUAUGUGCUAUGCUGGGUGCCCAUGCUAAGUUUGGUAUCAAUAUGGUGAUUUCCUGGAAGCGGGGGACCACCUGGUUGCCUUAGGAGGGGUGAACUGGCCCAGGCCAGAAACGGAGCGGGUCAAAACUCCCAUGCUGAAGUGUGAUUGCAUCUGUGAAUAGCCUGUGCACUCCAGCCUGGGCAACAUAGCAAGACCUCAUCUCU